AACGCUGGCGGCGCGCCUAACACAUGCAAGUCGAACGAGAAAGUGGAGCAAUCCAUGAGUACAGUGGCGUACGGGUGAGUAACACGUGGGUAAUCUACCUUUUAGUGAGGAAUAACCGAGGGAAACUUCGGCUAAUACCGCAUAAGCCUGAGAAGGGAAAGCAGAAAUGCGCUGAAAGAGGAGCCCGCGGCCGAUUAGCUAGUUGGUGAGGUAAGAGCCCACCAAGGCAGAGAUCGGUAGCCGGCCUGAGAGGGCACACGGCCACACUGGCACUGAAACACGGGCCAGACUCCUACGGGAGGCAGCAGUGGGGAAUCUUGCACAAUGGGGGAAACCCUGAUGCAGCGACGCCGCGUGAGCGAUGAAGCCCUUCGGGGUGUAAAGCUCUUUCGUCAGGGAA
This 400-nucleotide ribosomal RNA is filed under the name uncultured bacterium. RNAcentral describes it as "bacterial SSU rRNA". It matches the Rfam family "Bacterial small subunit ribosomal RNA", at positions 32 to 446 of the family's 1533-position model. The record is from RNAcentral.